CGCCCUUCAGUUCCUCUCAAUAAAAGAACUUCUGCAAAGUUGGCCAACCUUCUUCUAAACCCAACCAGGUAGUACGAAGACUGCCAUCCACAAAAGGAAUAGCAGAAAUGAUGCAUUCAAUAAAGCCUAUCUUCCUCCUAUAGACGAAAGAUUUGCACUUCGUCCAUCAAGCUUCCUCUGGAUUUUCUGAACCAUUGGCAGUCAGUGAAUCUUUCUCAACUGAUAUGGGUAGACAGGUUCAGCGAGGUAAGUAAUACAAAAUGGAGAACUCACCAAGCUGACAUGGCUGCCUAAUACAGUUGUUUCCUAUCUAAAAUGGUGACUUCUCAAAGUUGAUCUGCAAUCCAGAAAUUUCUUCAGAAAAAUAUAGGAUAAUCUUCAAAUUGGUAGGCUGUUACAUAACAUCUUCGCAAAAGAUGAUGGUGUCAUCUGCCUGCUGCAAGGUCGCGAUCCAUUCACAUCUGCCAAGGUAGCAAAUAUUAGCCCCAUCAAAGGACAUUUCAGACCACCUUUUCCCCUUCAUGCCAAACCCACAUGCUUCAAGCAACUUAGCAAGAAAACUCGAUCAAAUCUUUGUACAGAAGUUUUGCACUGGUAGAGAGUCUCCUGAGCCCUUACAAAGCUACUAUGGAUUAAUGAAUGCAACCUAGAUCUCUCCUACCAGUUGACUCAUGAGAGGUUGCAGCUGCAGCGCUGGUCACAUGCUGCCAUGAUAUAGUAGAGUCACAUGCCAGGUCAAGCCAGUCACAUGGUUGUGCUUGGGCUCUAGCCAUAAGCGGGUUGGUUGUUCACAAUAUAGAGGCACAAACCUCUUGUACUAUGUCUGCAUCUGGAUGCAAAAUGGUACAUACUGUAUGUUUCAGUAACACCAGCACCUAAAUCCUUGACAGACAAACCUUAUUGAAGUAGGAUAUAGUGACACAUAAAUUAUCAUUUGGGAAAAAAAUCUGCUCAAAAGGGAAAAGAUAAAAAGUGGACAUGGGGAAAUAAGUAUGCAACUUGAAAAAGCAUAAUAUCAAUUCAUGCUAACUGAUAUAGGUCUAAUUUUCAGAAACAAAAUAGAACAAAUUCCUGAGAAUAACUUAUCAUAAAAUAUUGUAAUGCCAAUGUUUUAUUAAGAUUAUUCUGAGCAAAAACAACCUAGAAUAUGGCAUAAACACAUGCUUGACAGCAAAAGAUCCUACAUACUCAACU
RNAcentral lists this long non-coding RNA (1194 nucleotides) under Elaeis guineensis (African oil palm). RNAcentral's name for it is "long non-coding RNA (EGUI_LNC045798)". The record is from RNAcentral. Lineage: Eukaryota; Viridiplantae; Streptophyta; Magnoliopsida; Arecales; Arecaceae.